This 442-nucleotide ribosomal RNA is filed under the name uncultured bacterium. RNAcentral's name for it is "partial 16S ribosomal RNA". It matches the Rfam family "Bacterial small subunit ribosomal RNA", at positions 338 to 795 of the family's 1533-position model. The record is from RNAcentral.
CCUACGGGUGGCAGCAGUGGGGAAUAUUGGGCAAUGGGCGCAAGCCUGACCCAGCAACGCCGCGUGAAGGAAGAAGGCUUUCGGGUUGUAAACUUCUUUUAAGGGGGACGAAAAAAUGACGGUACCCCUUGACUAAGCCACGGCUAACUACGUGCCAGCAGCCGCGGGCAUACGGAGGUGGCCAGCGUUAACCGGAUUGUAUGGGUGUAAAGGGCGUGUAGGGGGGAGCGGAUGGCAGAUGUGAAAACUCAGGGCUCAACCCUGAGCCUGCAUUUGAAACUGUGUUUCUUGAGUGCGGGAGAGGCAAGCGGAAUUCGGUGUGUAGCGGUGAAAUGCGUAGAUAUACGGAAGAACACCAGUUGCGAAGGCAGAGUGCUGGACAGUAACUGACGCUGAGGCGCGAAAGCGUGGGGAGCGAACAGGAUUAGAUACCCUGGUAGUC